Long non-coding RNA from Halichondria panicea, 1705 nucleotides. RefSeq lists it as uncharacterized. NCBI's taxonomy places the organism in Eukaryota, Metazoa, Porifera, Demospongiae, Suberitida, Halichondriidae. The transcript has 6 exons. The record is from RefSeq and is a predicted model, not a curated record.
GCAGUUGCUGUAGGCAUGCAAGCGACUGUAGGCAUGCAAGCGUUAAAACUAAGGGCGAUUCAAAGUAAUCCGAAAAAGCACUUCCAUUCUCCACCAGCUGUUGUAAGAAGUCGAGAUGUAACAUGUCUCGUGCUCUAUAGUUGACCCUCGGUCUACCUUGGGUGAUAGAGUUAGUAGAACCUGGAGCGAAAAGUGGGCCAAGCAAAGAAUGUGAACUUGUUGAUUUUCUCCUGCGGUGUGGAUACCCAAAGUCUCGUAAACAAGUCACGUAAAUAAACAAGUCACGUAAACAAGUCAUGGGUAUUGUUCAGGUAAGUGAUGGGUGGUGGACCUGACGUCAUCAUCGCUCUUCUCUCAGUAGAGCACGUGCAGCUGCAUCAAAUAUCGACACACUCAAUGACUAUUUUGAUCUACUCGAGGAAACAAUUGAUACGUACGAUUUACGAGACCGUCGGACAUGGAUGAAUCUGGGAUGCCGCCAAAUCUCCCAAGGUAGUAGCUGACAGUAAGGCCAGAUUUCAUCCGGAGACAAAACACAAAUAACUGGUGUCCUCCAAUGGUAAUAUGGGACCGAAAAAACCGAAAAAAUUUGAACGUAGUACUCACCGAAGGGGAUGUGCCGGAGACAUGCUAUGUGCUGAGAUAUUUGACGGCUGGUUUUGUAAUCACUUUUUGAAAUAUGCCCCUAGCGAUAGACCACUGCUGCUGCGCCCGGACACAUUGUCGAACGGACACAUUGUCGAAAGCUGCAGAGCACAAAGUGAUUAUUUUUGCUCUACCCCCCAAUACUACCCAUUUCCGCUUGACAAGGGGUGCUUUGGACCCCUAAAAUCGCAUUGGAGGGACCGGUUCAUUAGUGAGAAUCCAGGGAAAGUGGUCACACGAUAUGAAGAAUGUUAUCGCUGGGUUUAAAACAACAGGUAUCUACCCUGUAGAUAUAGGGAUAUAGAUAGAAAUGCCAGCGUACUACUCUUACUACUCUUCCUUUUCUACCUAUGACCCCCCUAUUUCCUCUUCACAGCCUCAUCAUGUACGUGCUUACUAUCGGUACAAUCGUUGGCUCUCACUGAACCAUCCCGAUAAUCCAUUAAAUCCUAUUUUAUCCCAACAGCCACAUGAAGAUGACACCCAAGAGGUGCACAUACCGUGGCGAACACACGUAGCACACUGAGCAAGUUGUUGUCUGAGCAGCCAAAAAAAAAGAAGAGAGAUGAAGAUGUUCUAAAAAAGCUCAGAGCUAAGGAAGAGAGGGAGAAGAACUAAAAAACAGAUCGCUGUACAAAAGCCCCUUGCUAGCAAGUAUUCAGGACACAUCACAGACUGAGGAGGACUCCUAUGACGUACCUGUCAACAAGAUUGAUUCCUCCAGCUCCACAACACGUAGUGCAAGAGCUAAACGUCAAGCCUGUUUAUCUAAGAAGUCGGGGUCAGGUGUUGCCUCUAAGAGUUCCACUGUAGAAAAUGGCCAAGAGAGGGAGAAGAAGAAAAUUGAUAAAAAGGGCUCGCUGUACAAAAGUAGCAAGUAUUCAGGACACACCACAGACUGAGGAGUACAUGUAUGACUCCUAGACGUACCUAUCAACUCCAACUCCAGCUCUACAACACGUAGUGCAAGAACUAAACGUCAAGGUACUAAAAGUGUGUCAUAUGUACAUGUACGUGUACGCUUAUUUAUUGCAGACGCUUAUUUAUUGCAGCCAAGAAG